Molecule: non-coding RNA, 30 nt
Filed under: Homo sapiens (human)
Lineage: Eukaryota; Metazoa; Chordata; Mammalia; Primates; Hominidae
Source: RNAcentral
UCCUAUCUAGCCCAGUGUUCUGUCUCUGAA